This 393-nucleotide ribosomal RNA is filed under the name uncultured bacterium. Its description in RNAcentral is "partial 16S ribosomal RNA". It matches the Rfam family "Bacterial small subunit ribosomal RNA", at positions 523 to 918 of the family's 1533-position model. The record is from RNAcentral.
AUACGGAAGGUCCGGGCGUUAUCCGGAUUUAUUGGGUUUAAAGGGAGCGCAGGCGGAGAUGCAAGCGUGACGUCAAAUUUCGGGGCUCAACCCCGUCUCGCGUCGCGAACUGCGUCCCUUGGUUGCGGGAAGGGGAGGCGGAACUCGUGGUGUAGCGGUGAAAUGCAUAGAUAUCACGAAGAACUCCGAUCGCGAAGGCAGCCUUCCGGCCCGUCAACGACGCUCAUGCUCGAAGGCGCGGGUAUCAAACAGGAUUAGAUACCCUGGUAGUCCGCACAGUAAACGAUGGACACCCGCGGUUUGGCCUGUAUGGCUGAGCCGCCAAGCGAAAGCGUUAAGUGUCCCACCUGGGGAGUACGCCGGCAACGGUGAAACUCAAAUGAAUUGACGGGG